UUUAAUAGAGAUUCAACUAAAUUUUAGGGCACUUUCCAUUUUAGUACUAUGUGGUUUAUAAUGUAUUAAGUUAGUGUCGUAUGGUUUUGUUUUUAUCUUUUCGUCAGUUUCUUCGUUAAUAUUUUGUUAAAUUAUAUAAAAAAAAAAUUUCAAAUACCACAACUAGGUUUAUCGAAUAUUCAAUUUAGUACCAUUUAGUUUUAAUUCUGUCACUGAUUUAAUGAAAAAAAUUAAUAGAAUCGAUAAUAAAAAGAUAAAAAUGAAACCACGGAAUAUUAAAUUGAUACGCUUUAAAUCAUAGGGUACUAAAAUGAGAAAGUGUGAAAUCAGGAUAGUAUUUGAAGUUUUUUCUAAAAUGUACAAAUUCGGAGAAGAGUGUGGGAGGUGGUGGUAUUUG
RNAcentral lists this long non-coding RNA (397 nucleotides) under Ananas comosus (pineapple). Its description in RNAcentral is "long non-coding RNA (ACOM_LNC034955)". Lineage: Eukaryota; Viridiplantae; Streptophyta; Magnoliopsida; Poales; Bromeliaceae. The record is from RNAcentral.